CGUAGGGUGCGAGCGUUAAUCGGAAUUACUGGGCGUAAAGUGUGCGCAGGCGGCCGAGCAAGUCGAGUGUGAAAGCCCCGAGCUUAACUUGGGAACUGCGCUCGAAACUACUUGGCUAGAGUGUGGCAGAGGGAGGUGGAAUUCCACGUGUAGCGGUGAAAUGCGUAGAGAUGUGGAGGAACACCGAUGGCGAAGGCAGCCUCCUGGGCCAACACUGACGCUCAUGCACGAAAGCGUGGGGAGCAAACAGGAUUAGAUACCCUGGUAGUCCACGCCCUAAACGAUGAUGACUAGUUGUUGGAGGAGUUAAAUCCUUUAGUAACGCAGCUAACGCGUGAAGUCAUCCGCCUGGGGAUACGGUCGCAAGAUU
This 370-nucleotide ribosomal RNA is filed under the name uncultured organism. RNAcentral describes it as "bacterial SSU rRNA". It matches the Rfam family "Bacterial small subunit ribosomal RNA", at positions 526 to 895 of the family's 1533-position model. The record is from RNAcentral.